Pezoporus occidentalis (night parrot) is the source of this 879-nucleotide long non-coding RNA. RefSeq lists it as uncharacterized. The record is from RefSeq and is a predicted model, not a curated record. The transcript has 2 exons. Lineage: Eukaryota; Metazoa; Chordata; Aves; Psittaciformes; Psittacidae.
GAAUCACAGAACAGUUUGGGUUGGAAGGGACCUUAAAGCUCAUCCAGUUCUAACCCCCUGCCAUGGCAGGGACACCUUCCACUAGAGCAGGCUGCUCCAAGCCCUGACCAACCUGGCCUUGAGCACUGCCAGGGAUGGGGCAGCCACAGCUUCUCUGGGCACCCUGUGCCAGCGCCUCAGCACACUCACAAGGAAGAACUUCUUCCUAAUACCUAAUCUAAAUCUCCCCUCUGUCAGUUUAAAGCCAUUCCCCCUUGUCCCUUCCCUACAGGCCCUUGUCAAAAGCCCCUCUCCAGCUUUCUUGUAGCCCCUUUAGGCACUGGAAGCUGCUGUAAGGUCUCCCUGAAGCCUUCCCUUCUCCAGACUGAACAAGCCCAACUCUUUCAGCCUGUCUCCAUAGCAGAGGUGCUCCAGCCCUUGGAGCAUCUUCAUGGAAAGUCUGAAAACUUUUUCCUCAAAGCACCCUCUUGCACAUAGGAUUGGUCAGCUCAUGGAAAGACAGCCUUAAAGAAGGAGGGAGGAGGAGCCUGGGCAGUACCAGCUUGCUGGGAAAGCGCUGACAGAUGGCUAGCCUGCAGCUCUGAGUGCUCAGCAGUGGGGAGCUGCAAGCUGGAGUAGGACUGGAGUAAGCUCAUAGCUGCUUAAUGAGCUAAAAUUGCUCAUUACCUGCCUUCUGGUUCCUGGCCUUGCUCUCGCAAGUGAGUUGUCGGUAUUGAGAAAGAGCCCCCAAACUGCUGUGUCCUUUGAGCUUUGGCUGAGCCCUUGUGGCAGCUCCUGGAAAUAACCUUUGAAAAGCUUUGCCUUCCAAUUGUAUUUAAAGUUGCAGUUAUGAUUUAGAAGUUAAGAGGAUAUAAAACAUUAAAGCUCUUUUUAUAAGUC